Ailuropoda melanoleuca (giant panda) is the source of this 2445-nucleotide long non-coding RNA. The record is from Ensembl. Lineage: Eukaryota; Metazoa; Chordata; Mammalia; Carnivora; Ursidae.
AUGAUUCAGCAAAAUGAUUCAACGAACGAUGACAUGGAAUUGAUGAACAGGUGGUUUUCAGAAGAUCACUCAGUAUAUUUAGCUUCUGAAAUUCGAGCGACUCGGGAUCUGAUUGGCUGCUGGUACCACGUGAUAAUUCGGAGCCCAGGCACCACUCUGGCUCUUGCCUGGGGUUCUCAGGAGGGAAGAGUUGGGAGAGGCUUUGCUGCUGAGGAAAUUGAUCUGAUAGAUUAAAGGUAAGGCCGGUUUAUGGCUUUUUCUGUAAUGGUCUUGCUGGAGAUGUUCUGCAGCUUCCCUUGAAGUAUUUCCCAAAGUUUGGGGUCAUAACUGGGGAAAUUAGGGGUGGAAAUGUAACUAGGAAAGUUUGUGACCCUGUUGCCCUACUCAGGCCCUACUUAUACCUGCCAUGUGUUGUGUGAUCAAAGUCCUAUACUGACCAGCUUACUGCUCGACUGAGUUGGCUCUCUCGUCUAACAGACAACAUUUUAAAAAGUUUUGCCUUUGAUUUUUUUCCCUAAAUAUAUUGGUACGUAAAAGGAUCUAUGUUCUGCAUUCCUAUAUUUAUCCUGUUCUACUGGGCUUCCUUUGCCUCCGAAGGAGCGGCAGUUUCGCUGGCUUAACAAAACCAGCCAUGGCGGGGUAUUGGUUUACAUGGCAAAUAUCUUUGGGCAAAGGGACAGCUGCUCCAAGUCCUCAUCCCCUUUUAUCAAGAGAGUCCCAUUCUCUGGCGUCAAACUAAGGAGGCCUUGGGAGAUCCUCUCGUUAGUUCCUGAAUUAGAAGCUUAGACCAGAGACCCACAGUCUUCUAUGUACUUCAGUCAAUGCUUGAAAUGUUUCUUAUUUUUCAGGUUUGAGGAAGAGCUACAGAAGCAGAACAGAAAAAUCCAUACAAGCCAAUGGUGUUCGGGAAAAAAUAACCCCAUUGCCUUGAGGUUUCUAUUUUUUCUUUUAAAGCUAUUGACAGAUUUGUUUUUAUGUGUCCUCAUUUCAAGCCUAGCACAGACUGCUAUGGUGUUUUAGAGGAGUAGAGCGACCCAAAGCAUCCCUCUUAGAAAUUUGGUGCUGGCGAAAAAUUCUGACUUCUGGAAGCCGAGCUGACCUCCCUUUCACUAAGACGUUUGCUUGAAAAUGUUUUUCCGCAAGUAUUUAGAAACUUGAAUACCCUGUUUCUUUGAAUCCAAAUCCUCUCGCUUUCUUACCUCCGCUUCCUUUUACAACUUGAACUAAAUUGGUGGUGUAGCUAGAAGCAGCGACACCUGACAUGUUGCUGAGGGCAUCAAGAGACGCUGAUUGAAGUCUGAGGUUUUGAGAGCCAUAUUUAAAUAUCUCCUCUCACGUAGCCUGCAACAAUCUAUGGCUGUGUAGGAUGGAUAAUCUUACAUUCUGUUUUUAUAAUGUUAUGAUUUCAGUCCUAGGGGUAGAUGCUAAUGCGUUUCCAUUUGUCUGGAAUAUGAAAAGUUUGUAGGUGCCACUACGACUCUGGGAAAAUGGCAGACGACGAAGAAUAUGAGGAGGUGGUGGAGGUAAGAUGAAAAGGCUGACUCUGACAGCGGGUAUUUUCUGUGGCGACAGCCAAAGCCGUGUAGGUGAAUUAAUCAUUUGACAAAUACCUCAUCUAUUAUAACUUCACAAAGAGUCAUUAUUAAAGCAUGAGAAAGGAAUAUUUUAUGUUCAGUUUCACUAUAAUUAUGUGGGAUUUAGAAUUGAAAAGAAAUCUCACUGUUUCCCACUUUUGCUUUUCUUUAAACUCUCAGAAAAACAUGGUGUGGGGUAAAGGUGGUGUUAAUUUGUCUUCUGAAACUACCUUCUUCCCCACCUGACAACCCUCCUGAUCAGAAGGAUGGAGGAGAUGAAGGGACAGUUCCAAAAACUGAACUCUGUCUUUUAGCUUCCACAUAGCAAUAGGAGGAAAAGGGGCUACUUUAAAUCUUUGCUUCAACCAGCUGAUUACCUAGAGGGUAAUAUGGGUUAAAUGUUCAGAAUAAUACACUAAUGAGAUUUUAUGCAUAUGUGAGAUUUUGUAUGUAUGUAAAUGUGCACAUGUGCCCAUAAAUAUAAACUCAUCACACUCACAAGUGACAUUUGGAGCCACACUUUCUGACCAACUCCCAUUCUAUUUACCUAAGGGAACAAGACUAGCUUUUGCUUUUAAAUUUUGAAAAAAAAAAAAAACCAAACAAACAAAAAACAAAACCCAAAGUGGACAUCUUGGAAAAAUUUCCUCUGGGUUAUUUGUGGACAUCUGACACAUUCUACAAAGCUGUUAAUUAUUUAUUUUAUAAAAUUUUGUUUAUAUGUUACGGUUUUUCUUCCUCAGCUCUUGGCUUCAGCUUCACAUUCUAGAAUCUCAAGGCUUGGGGACUAUAAUCCAUAUAAAUACAUUGCCAUUGAAUCUGAAAGUGCUUAAUAAUUUAUAAUUAAUGAUGAUCUAAACAUAUAAAAAUC